This 305-nucleotide unclassified non-coding RNA is filed under the name Pseudomonas pohangensis. RNAcentral's name for it is "Long range pseudoknot". The record is from RNAcentral. Lineage: Bacteria; Pseudomonadati; Pseudomonadota; Gammaproteobacteria; Pseudomonadales; Pseudomonadaceae.
ACGGAAGAUGGGGACUAUCAGGUAAAACUACGCAACCUGAUACGUUUCCUUACAGAAGGGGACAAGGCCAAGGUAUCGUUGAGAUUCCGCGGUCGUGAGAUGGCCCACCAGGAGCUGGGAAUGGAGUUGUUGAAGCGGGUCGAAGCUGACCUCGCGGAAUACGGCGCCGUUGAACAGCAUCCGAAGAUGGAAGGACGCCAACUAAUGAUGGUCAUCGCCCCCAAAAAGCGAAAGUAACCUCCAGGGCACAGGCAGGCCUUCUGGUUAUCGGUAAUCACUUCAAUGCGGAGUAACAAACAUGCCAA